CCUUCAGUAUCAUAAUAACUGAUUUCUUUUUUCUUUUUAUUUUAGCAUGUUUGUAGAUGCAUAUUUGGAACCUUUCAUUCCACAUAUGAAUGAUUUGUAUCUCAUUGUGGUAAAUGAAUUUUUAGAAUUCUUUCAUACAUUUGGACUGUGGCAGCCCUGGAAUUCAUACAAUCUUCUUGAAGGAGAAAAGAAGAGAACUAUUACAUGUGUACCUGGAUCCUCAGGAGAGACAUUUGUUAUUUAUAAUAUUGGCAAUUUUCACAAGGACAAUGUUAGGAUAAGACCCUUCUCAUUGAAUAAUUGCUUUCAGAGUAGUAUUUUAGAAGAAAAACACUCUCCAAUUAUUAGCAAUCUUGUAGAGAUAGAAUUUUAAUUUAGAGUUUCCUCAGUGUGAAUCCUGUCAAACUGCCUUAGGUGGAACUUUGAGCUAAGGUCUUGCUUGGGAAUUCUGUGAGACCUGAGGAGGUGGAAGUUCUGUUUAAUAAAACUGUCUCUCUCUCUGCUGGUGGCUAAAUC
This 516-nucleotide long non-coding RNA is filed under the name Monodelphis domestica (gray short-tailed opossum). RNAcentral's name for it is "lncRNA (ENSMODG00000034661.2)". The record is from RNAcentral. Lineage: Eukaryota; Metazoa; Chordata; Mammalia; Didelphimorphia; Didelphidae.